GAUGAAGAACGUAGCGAAAUGCGAUAAGUAAUGUGAAUUGCAGAAUUCAGUGAAUCAUCGAAUCUUUGAACGCACAUUGCGCCCGCCAGUAUUCUGGCGGGCAUGCCUGUUCGAGCGUCAUUUCAACCCUCAGGUCCCCCUUUUCGGAGGGGGAGACACCCUGGUGUUGGGGGACGGCCUGGCCUUCUGCGCCGCGCCGCCCCCGAAAUGCAGUGGCGACCCCGCCGCAGCCUCCCCUGCGUAGUAGCACACACCUCGCACCGGAGCGCGGAGGCGGUCACGCCGUAAAACGCCCAACUUUCUUAGAGUUGACCUCGGAUCAGGUAGGAAUACCCGCUGAACUUAAGCAUAUCAAUAAGCGGAGGA
RNAcentral lists this unclassified non-coding RNA (366 nucleotides) under soil metagenome. Its description in RNAcentral is "partial contains 5.8S ribosomal RNA, internal transcribed spacer 2, and large subunit ribosomal RNA". The stretch from base 1 to 120 matches the Rfam family "5.8S ribosomal RNA", at positions 35 to 154 of the family's 154-position model. The record is from RNAcentral.